Diceros bicornis minor is the source of this 4445-nucleotide long non-coding RNA. RefSeq lists it as uncharacterized. NCBI's taxonomy places the organism in Eukaryota, Metazoa, Chordata, Mammalia, Perissodactyla, Rhinocerotidae. The record is from RefSeq and is a predicted model, not a curated record. The transcript is spliced from 5 exons.
AGAUGAUGGACAAGACCCCUAUCUCAGGUCUGACCCCUCCCCACACUCCCAGGACAGAGCUCAUGGAGAGGACCCCUCCUGUGGGGGUCAGGGUGGCUGGUGGUCGUCCUGAGCCAUUGCUUUCCCGGCAUCUGCCCCAGUAGAGGAGGCUGUGACGUUGACCCCAGAGGAGAGGAUCCAGGAGUGGAGAGCACAGCGUGGCCCCUCCACAUGCCCACCGUGCCUGCAAUCCCUCCCAGUGUAGGGGACUUGGCCCUAAAUCCCAUGUGCUGGUCUUUAGACUGUGCCUCGGCCUGGGCGGGGCGCAGGCGGUGUCCCCGAGACCCUAGAGGCCUGGCUGGUGUGGCACACCGUUGUUGGCCUCACCCGACAACCCAGGAAGCUCUCACAGCGCGGCCCACUGGGUCGUCUUGGACUUGGGAAGCUUAUUGUGAAGGUCCUUUAUUUCCCCGGAAAGUUCUUCUGCCCCCGAGGGGUUAGUGGGGCCGUGUGGACACCACGUGCUCACCUCUCGGUUGGAGUUGGCGUGUCUGGUGUUUAGGGUCUGCAGUCCGCUGUGCUCUGGGCUACAGAGGGAGGGACGUGGUCGUCCUCCCCUUGGUGGAUUUAACACCGGGGCCUGUGGUCUGUGGUGUGUGUAGCCCACUGCUCUCUCCCUCCACGCGGCCUGAGCAGCAGGGACACGGGGGACCGUUGAGGACGUUGUCCCCUUCUCCUCUGGGUCGGAUCGUCAUCCCCAGGGGCUGUUCACAAGGGUCCCUUCCUCUAGGUUGGACUCGGGCAGGGGGCCUGGCAGCCCAUGUGGACGCGUGUCAGGGGGGUCAGGACGCAUGGACGUGUGUCCCUCACGAGCAGGUGGGACCUCACAGGGUCCCCGGGAAGACACACGGAGACCUCACUGCCUCUCAGGCUCCUGCAGAGUCUACACGGAGGAAGACGCACGCGGGCGAGCUGGACGAGCUGGUCGGGAGGAGGGCCGUGCCAGCCAUGUUCUGUAAGCUGACUGCCAGGUGCUGCAGAUGCAGGUGGCUGAGAUAGUCCAGCUCUACCUGGACGUCCCCGCUCGGCCCUCAGCCUCCCUCCAGUCCUGACUUCACCCCUCCUUCUGUGUCAUCUCUCCCCUGCAUAAAAUACAGACUCGUGGUCAAAGGUUCCACAAGGACGGUGAACGUGAAUUAGCCGCAGUCUCACAGGGUCACCUGCUGUCAAACCUGUUCUCUUCUGUCUGUUCUCGUCACGCCUCCCCUGAGGACGAAGGCCCUCUGUGUUCUCGUGAACUGCGUCUCCCGUUAAACCUCCUCCCAAACUUAACUCCUCAUGCACAUUUCCAUUAGGACAUCACAUCCGUCAUUUGUGCCAUCUUGUGAAGGGGACAGGGUCGUCGUCUCAGUUUCAUCCUUUCAUUACUAUUGGAAUUGAAUGCAAGGUUGGUCCUCUCGUAGGACACGACUGCCUUUUAAACAGCUGUGCACUGAGCCUCUGUACAUCCUGGAGGCCGCGUCUGGGACCUGCUUGUCGUCUGACACGUGGCCGGCUCUCGCAGCUCUGCGCUCCCUCCCACCCUCCCUCCCUCGGCCCCAAGGCAGAACGACAGGCUCCAAUACGCCCUGUCUCGUCUCCUCUGCCUGCAGCAGGUGAGUGGGCUGUUCCGGAAGGUCUGACGAUGCCCCGCGGCUGCUCCCCCGCGACACUGAGCCUGGGUCACGGGCACCGCUGUUCCUCUGCCUUCUCCUUAGAAAGUAUGCACCCGCGUUAGCGCUGUGUCUGCAGUUGCUCAUGACGACAGCGCGUCCUGGCGUCUUGGCUCUGGCGGCCGUAACAACGGAACAGACGGGGCGGCUUAAACAACAGACCUGUGUUUCUCCCAGUUCUGUCCCCCAGGCCUCACUGGGGGGGAUUCAGCAUAUGGAUUUGGGGGGACACACACAUUCAGUCCCUCACACCUGGCCAGGGAGCGGCCAUGGUUCUGUGCUGGGCUGGAUCAUCCCGUGGGGCGGCUUUUCUAGCUGAGCCCAGGGAUGUCCGUGCCCCCUGAGCCGCUGUAUGGACCCGGGUGAAUCACACGCAUUCUGUACGUGGCUGGGGGUGGGUCCCACUUAGCUGCGGGUGUUUCUGCCCACGGGGCCGUGUCUGCCUGUGUUGGCAACGGGCGUCCCUCACCCUGUGUGUCUGUGCAGGUUCCCGCACCCUCUCUGUUCUGUUUAAACUGCAGACGAUCCACAGACCUGCCCCGCACUUCGGACGGUGGCCCGUCCUGUCAUAGGGAUCCCCCGGGUGCCAGUGUGGACUCCACGCGUGUCCUUCAUUGGUGAGGUGGGCCUCACGCACCCCACAGCGACUUGAGGGCGUCUCUCCCCUGGUCUGUCAGGGCGGAUGUUUCCAAAAGGAGAGAUUGUAUAUAAUCCUCGUGGAAGACAGCUUAUCCCGACACGUGGAGUCCACGACAGUGACACGUGGCGUCCACGGCUGGGAGGCGUGGCCAGUGUUCUGCUCUGUGUGGUGCCUUGUUCUGUUUUCCAGACGGAUCUGUCUGCCCUCAGUAUCACAAGUGGUUACUUAGAGGGCUUGGGAGACUCGCAUAAGCCCGCAUUGAAUCGGACACCAACGUGGUCCUGGAACUGAACAGUGUCUGUAGGAGGAGGUGGUGCUCUCCCUUCUCUCCCCCUUGUCCUGGCUUUGUCACCCCGUCUGGGGCCACACACCGUCUUGAGCUCUCUGGAAGACCCGCCUUCAGCCCUCUGUGCUGCGGGUCCGUCCACGCCCACCUGCAGACUCACCACUGCCAGGACUGCAUCCUCAUGAGGCCAAACGAGGGGGCCCAGGGCGAGGAGGAGCCCACUGCCAACCCGUUUCACACCACAUGCAAACAGAGCAAGCGUCUGUUUGCAAGCAAGCUUCAUCCUGAAGACCUGUCCACGGGGACGUGCUCCACCUGGACACCCUGGCCAGCUCUGCACGGCUCACAGAGAACCGAGAAACCUGUCCAGGGGCUGGACAUCUUUGAUGUUAACUCCCUAUCUUCUGAGGACGCUUCCAGUGAAGACAUCGAUGUGGAGUGUGUCCCUGCCCAGGGGGAGGUGUCUGACUGAAGAUGGCCCACACCCCGGGUGGGACCCAUGUCCAGAGCUCCUCCUGCAUCACCACGUUGUGUCCACGGCCGGCUGGUCCCGGGUUGGGUGGCCUGUGGCCUCCGACUGCGGAUGACCUGGGCCCUCGGGGCCUCCAGGCUGUGAGUGGAUGGUGGUGACCCUGCCAUCUGCUCCCACAGAGCCGGCCCCCUGUACACGGGGCAGGGCCACGCAACCCUCCACUGGGGACCCUCAGGGUGCCCAACCACCCAGGUGUCUACCUGCCCGCGGCUUCCUCGCGGGGCCCCGGCUGAGCACUGUGCUCAGCUCGGCUGGCAGGUCCCAGAACCAGCUUUGCUCCCCUGCAGAGCUUGGUGCCGGCUCCCUUGUCUGGGUGGUCCCGCUCUGCGUGGGCCGCUGGCUCCUCCUCUCACGGCCCAGGGCCCUGUUGGCGCGUUUCGUGGUGUCCAGUGCCUUGGGCCCAGCUGCAGGAGAAGGAGGGUGCGGCACGGUCUGGGCAGCACCAAGAUGCUUUAAACUGGCUGCACCUGAUGUGGUGGAGGUGGGAGCGGCCUGAGGCCCGCAGCCCGGGUGGGGGAUGCCCGUGGGGUGUCCCUGAGGGCCACUCAUUGGCACUGCUCCCCACAGACACCUGGGGUGUGGCCACUCCCACCCUUGAAAUCUCGUGUUGGUGCCAAACCACAGAGGCUCCCGGACACCAGAGGGGGACGACCCCAUACAGCCGACCCCCGUGCACAGGUGGAGAGUGGAUGUCAGGGGGUCUCCCCAUUUCUCUCUGUAGGGGAGGAUUCUCCUCCCUCUGUUGUGCACACACAAGAACAAGUCUGCACGUCCCGGCAUGGGCCUUGGCCUGGGCGCUCAGGGUCCGGGCCCCUGGAACAGCCUGCCUCCACACGAGGCCACGUUCUGCAAGCCUCUGCGCAAAUGGUGGGCUUGGAGGUCGAGGCCUCAGGCAGAGCGUCUGUGCAGUCGAGUCGUCUCUCCUCCCCUCUCCAGACUUUGGAAGCCACCCGUGGGGGAGAACCCCCUGGGCAUGGUGUCAAGACCAGCCGAGGGGGGUCAGAGGAGGGUCACGCUGCUGGGAGCUGUCAAUCCCCAGGACCUGUGACCCGUGCUGACCCAGCUUCCUGCCCCCGAGGGCCAUCCCCACCCGGCAAUGUAGCCACGUCUCCCCUUGGUGACAUUCCUGUGUGUCCCCAGUAGCGUUGCUGUCACCUUUGCAGACUGGGUAUCACGGGCUGGGUGAGCUGAGCCCUUGAUUGAAAAUCUUUAAAUUCUUUAUUUGAAAAUACAAACGUGAUCUCAUAAAACAUUUUUAAACCGUUCUACACAGCAAAUAAAAGUUAACUUUACAUA